RNAcentral lists this ribosomal RNA (255 nucleotides) under uncultured bacterium. RNAcentral's name for it is "partial 16S ribosomal RNA". It matches the Rfam family "Bacterial small subunit ribosomal RNA", at positions 524 to 776 of the family's 1533-position model. The record is from RNAcentral.
UACGGGGGGAGCAAGCGUUGUUCGGAUUUACUGGGCGUAAAGGGCGCGUAGGCGGCCUCUGCAAGUCGACUGUGAAAUCUCCGGGCUUAACUCGGAACGGCCAAGUGAUACUGUCAAGCUAGAGUGCAGAAAGGGCAAUCGGAAUUCUUGGUGUAGCGGUGAAAUGCGUAGAUAUCAAGAGGAACACCUGAGGCGAAGGCGGGUUGCUAGGCUGACACUGACGCUGACAGCGCGAAAGCCAGGGGAGCAAACGGG